This 253-nucleotide ribosomal RNA is filed under the name uncultured bacterium. RNAcentral's name for it is "partial 16S ribosomal RNA". It matches the Rfam family "Bacterial small subunit ribosomal RNA", at positions 524 to 776 of the family's 1533-position model. The record is from RNAcentral.
UACGAAGGGGGCUAGCGUUGUUCGGAAUUACUGGGCGUAAAGCGCGCGCAGGCGGUUCUUCAAGUCAGUGGUGAAAGCCCGGAGCUCAACUCCGGAACUGCCAUUGAAACUGUAGAACUUGAGGAUGAGAGAGGUGAGUGGAAUUCCCAGUGUAGAGGUGAAAUUCGUAGAUAUUGGGAAGAACACCAGUGGCGAAGGCGGCUCACUGGCUCAUUUCUGACGCUCAGGCGCGACAGCGUGGGGAGCAAACAGG